UAACCUGCCCAAGAGAUCGGGAUAACACCUGGAAACAGAUGCUAAUACCGGAUAACAACAGAUGAUGCCUAUCAACUGUUUAAAAGAUGGUUCUGCUAUCACUCUUGGAUGGACCUGCGGUGCAUUAGCUAGUUGGUAGGGUAACGGCCUACCAAGGCGAUGAUGCAUAGCCGAGUUGAGAUACUGAUCGGCCACAUUGGGACUGAGANACGGCCCAAACUCCUACGGGAGGCAGCAUAC
RNAcentral lists this ribosomal RNA (240 nucleotides) under uncultured Lactobacillus sp. Its description in RNAcentral is "partial 16S ribosomal RNA". It matches the Rfam family "Bacterial small subunit ribosomal RNA", at positions 122 to 353 of the family's 1533-position model. The record is from RNAcentral. Lineage: Bacteria; Bacillati; Bacillota; Bacilli; Lactobacillales; Lactobacillaceae.